RNAcentral lists this ribosomal RNA (535 nucleotides) under rhizosphere bacterium Ptrs7. RNAcentral describes it as "bacterial SSU rRNA". It matches the Rfam family "Bacterial small subunit ribosomal RNA", at positions 386 to 918 of the family's 1533-position model. The record is from RNAcentral.
AUGGAGCAGCGGCGAGCGAAGGCUCUGCGGGAAUAAGCGAAAGAAGGGGGGGGUUGAAGGCGAGAGGGAGAAAGUGUAGUCGAAAGCUGGCCCUGAGGUCCUAACCGAAGCACGGCCAAUACGUGCCGCAGCCGCGGUAAUACGUAGGUGGCAAGCGUUAUCCGGAAUAUUGGGCGUAAAGCGCGCGCAGGUGGUUUCUUAAGUCUGAUGUGAAAGCCCACGGCUCAACCGUGGAGGGUCAUUGGAAACUGGGAGACUUGAGUGCAGAAGAGGAAAGUGGAAUUCCAUGUGUAGCGGUGAAAUGCGUAGAGAUAUGGAGGAACACCAGUGGCGAAGGCGACUUUCUGGUCUGUAACUGACACUGAGGCGCGAAAGCGUGGGGAGCAAACAGGAUUAGAUACCCUGGUAGUCCACGCCGUAAACGAUGAGUGCUAAGUGUUAGAGGGUUUCCGCCCUUUAGUGCUGAAGUUAACGCAUUAAGCACUCCGCCUGGGGAGUACGGCCGCAAGGCUGAAACUCAAAGGAUUGGAACGGG